GCCUACGGCCAUACCACCCUGAAAGCGCCCGAUCUCGUCUGAUCUCGAAAGCUAAGCAGAGACGGGCUUGGUUAGUACCUGGAUGGGAGACCGCCUGGGAAUACCAGGUGUUGUAGGCU
RNAcentral lists this ribosomal RNA (119 nucleotides) under Xenopus tropicalis (tropical clawed frog). Lineage: Eukaryota; Metazoa; Chordata; Amphibia; Anura; Pipidae. The record is from RNAcentral.